GGCGAGGUGGCUGAGUGGCUAAGGCGAUGGAUUGCUAAUUUAUUGGGCUGCGCCCGCAUGGGUUCGAGUCCCACCCUCGUCG
Rhipicephalus microplus (southern cattle tick) is the source of this 82-nucleotide non-coding RNA. NCBI's taxonomy places the organism in Eukaryota, Metazoa, Arthropoda, Arachnida, Ixodida, Ixodidae. The record is from the annotation of a RefSeq genome assembly.